Molecule: long non-coding RNA, 444 nt
Organism: Pipra filicauda (Wire-tailed manakin)
Lineage: Eukaryota; Metazoa; Chordata; Aves; Passeriformes; Pipridae
Exons: 3
Source: RefSeq, a predicted model, not a curated record
CCUUGGUUGUACUCAACUGCUUGCUUAAUCUAAUCCUGUUUCCUUUAGCAGUUGCUCUUCUGGUGUAACCCAGAGUUUUCUUGUUCCCUUGAACCUUCACAUCUCCAUUUUGUGGCAACUUCAGUUCCAGGAACAACACCUGCAAGAGACCAGCAUUUCAAAUCAGUUUCUGCAUCCUGUUCCCAGGAGAGAAAAAAAGCAACAGAGCACUUAAACAGCUUGUUCCAACCAAAGGAUAGUACAAAUGCUUCAGAUAUAUUUCCAAGGGAAGUUCCCUCUUUUGACAAAUGAACAUUUUGACACAGAUUAUACUUAGGUACCAUCAAACCCACAUAGCAAAGCAAAUGUCCUCUAAAUACUGUUCAAGAUCUCCCACAGGAAGAAAAUUUCACUAAACCCUCUGACAGGUGUGCAUAUUCAAACAUAAAUAACAGAAGGAAAGUA